RNAcentral lists this ribosomal RNA (336 nucleotides) under Smeringopus lotzi. Its description in RNAcentral is "bacterial SSU rRNA". It matches the Rfam family "Eukaryotic small subunit ribosomal RNA", at positions 1473 to 1804 of the family's 1831-position model. The record is from RNAcentral. Lineage: Eukaryota; Metazoa; Arthropoda; Arachnida; Araneae; Pholcidae.
UUAGAUGUCCGGGGCCGCACGCGCGCUACACUGAAGGAAUCAGCGUGUGCUUUCCCGGUCCGCCAGGACUGGGUAACCCGUUGAACCUCCUUCGUGAUAGGGAUAGGGGCUUGUAAUUAUUCCCCUUGAACGAGGAAUGCCCAGUAAGCGCGAGUCAUAACCUCGUGUUGACUAAGUCCCUGCCCUUUGUGCACACCGCCCGUCGCUACCUCCGAUUGAAUGAUUUAGUGAGGUCUUCGGACUGGCGCUCGGAACGGUCUCUCGGCCGGGCCGACGUGCCGGAAAGAUGACCGAACUUGAUCAUUUAGAGGAAGUAAAAGUCGUAACAAGGUUUCC